RNAcentral lists this unclassified non-coding RNA (316 nucleotides) under Hevea brasiliensis (rubber tree). The record is from RNAcentral. Lineage: Eukaryota; Viridiplantae; Streptophyta; Magnoliopsida; Malpighiales; Euphorbiaceae.
UGAUCCUUAACCUUUACCUCAAAGCAGUCGAUCGAACUGAUAACAUACAAAUUACCAAAGCAAAAUAGCGCACAAAAAGUAGACAAAUGCCGAAAGGCUACAGGUGCCUAUUCUAAGCUGCAUUCACAAUGCUACGAUACAGCUAGCGAACUUCAUUUAGAAGACUGCCAACCUCUACCACCUGCAAAACGACCACGUUCUCGAUGAUGAUAUGGUUUCCUUCCGUGGCAUGGAUGGGCAACCAAAUUAAAUUGUUGGGCUGGUUGAUCGUUUUCAGGAGUAACACCACAACUGGUUCGAUAUGUAGUCCGCUGAA